UGUAUGGUUAAGUGACUAAGCGUACACGGUGGAUGCCUGGGCAGUCAGAGGCGAUGAAGGACGUACUAACUUGCGAUAAGCGCAGAUAAGGCAGUAAGAGCCGUUUGAGUCUGCGAUUUCCGAAUGGGGAAACCCAACUGCAUAAGCAGUUACUGUUAACUGAAUACAUAGGUUAACAGAGCAAACCGGGGGAACUGAAACAUCUAAGUACCCCGAGGAGAAGAAAUCAACCGAGAUUCCGGUAGUAGCGGCGAGCGAACCUGGAUUAGCCCUUAAGCACUCGGUGAAGUAGGUGAACAAGCUGGAAAGCUUGGCGAUACAGGGUGAUAGCCCCGUAACCGACGCUUCAUCGAGCGUGAAAUCGAGUAGGACGGGACACGUGAUAUCCUGUCUGAAUAUGGGGGGACCAUCCUCCAAGGCUAAAUACUCCUGACUGACCGAUAGUGAACCAGUACCGUGAGGGAAAGGCGAAAAGAACCCCUGUGAGGGGAGUGAAAUAGAACCUGAAACCGUGUACGUACAAGCAGUAGGAGCACCUUCGUGGUGUGACUGCGUACCUUUUGUAUAAUGGGUCAGCGACUUAUAUUCAGUGGCAAGGUUAACCGUAUAGGGGAGCCGUAGCGAAAGCGAGUCUUAACUGGGCGCUCAGUCUCUGGAUAUAGACCCGAAACCGGGUGAUCUAGCCAUGGGCAGGUUGAAGGUUGAGUAACAUCAACUGGAGGACCGAACCGACUAAUGUUGAAAAAUUAGCGGAUGACUUGUGGCUAGGGGUGAAAGGCCAAUCAAACUCGGAGAUAGCUGGUUCUCCCCGAAAGCUAUUUAGGUAGCGCCUCGGACGAAUACUACUGGGGGUAGAGCACUGUUAAGGCUAGGGGGUCAUCCCGACUUACCAACCCUUUGCAAACUCCGAAUACCAGUAAGUACUAUCCGGGAGACACACGGCGGGUGCUAACGUCCGUCGUGGAGAGGGAAACAACCCAGACCGCCAGCUAAGGUCCCAAAGUAUUGCUAAGUGGGAAACGAUGUGGGAAGGCUCAGACAGCUAGGAUGUUGGCUUAGAAGCAGCCAUCAUUUAAAGAAAGCGUAAUAGCUCACUAGUCGAGUCGGCCUGCGCGGAAGAUGUAACGGGGCUAAGCAAUACACCGAAGCUGCGGCAAUGUCUUUUAGACAUUGGGUAGGGGAGCGUUCUGUAAGCCGUUGAAGGUGAAUCGUAAGGUUUGCUGGAGGUAUCAGAAGUGCGAAUGCUGACAUGAGUAACGACAAAGGGGGUGAAAAACCUCCUCGCCGGAAGACCAAGGGUUCCUGUCCAACGUUAAUCGGGGCAGGGUGAGUCGACCCCUAAGGUGAGGCCGAAAGGCGUAAUCGAUGGGAAACGGGUUAAUAUUCCCGUACUUCUGACUAUUGCGAUGGGGGGACGGAGAAGGCUAGGUGGGCCAGGCGACGGUUGUCCUGGUUCAAGUGCGUAGGCUUGAGAGUUAGGUAAAUCCGGCUCUCUCUAAGGCUGAGACACGACGUCGAGCUACUACGGUAGUGAAGUCAUUGAUGCCAUGCUUCCAGGAAAAGCCUCUAAGCUUCAGAUAGUCAGGAAUCGUACCCCAAACCGACACAGGUGGUCGGGUAGAGAAUACCAAGGCGCUUGAGAGAACUCGGGUGAAGGAACUAGGCAAAAUGGUACCGUAACUUCGGGAGAAGGUACGCUCUUGAUGGUGAAGUCCCUCGCGGAUGGAGCUGACGAGAGUCGCAGAUACCAGGUGGCUGCAACUGUUUAUUAAAAACACAGCACUGUGCAAAAUCGCAAGAUGACGUAUACGGUGUGACGCCUGCCCGGUGCCGGAAGGUUAAUUGAUGGGGUUAGCGCAAGCGAAGCUCUUGAUCGAAGCCCCGGUAAACGGCGGCCGUAACUAUAACGGUCCUAAGGUAGCGAAAUUCCUUGUCGGGUAAGUUCCGACCUGCACGAAUGGCGUAAUGAUGGCCACGCUGUCUCCACCCGAGACUCAGUGAAAUUGAAAUCGCUGUGAAGAUGCAGUGUACCCGCGGCUAGACGGAAAGACCCCGUGAACCUUUACUACAGCUUGGCACUGAACAUUGAACCUACAUGUGUAGGAUAGGUGGGAGGCUAUGAAGACGUGACGCCAGUUGCGUUGGAGCCGUCCUUGAAAUACCACCCUUGUAUGU
Molecule: ribosomal RNA, 2175 nt
Filed under: Vibrio cholerae
Lineage: Bacteria; Pseudomonadati; Pseudomonadota; Gammaproteobacteria; Vibrionales; Vibrionaceae
Description: partial 23S ribosomal RNA
Rfam family: Bacterial large subunit ribosomal RNA
Source: RNAcentral